Molecule: RNase P RNA, 448 nt
Filed under: Rivibacter subsaxonicus
Lineage: Bacteria; Pseudomonadati; Pseudomonadota; Betaproteobacteria; Burkholderiales
Description: Methylibium subsaxonicum Bacterial RNase P class A
Rfam family: Bacterial RNase P class A
About the family: Ribonuclease P (RNase P) is a ubiquitous endoribonuclease, found in archaea, bacteria and eukarya as well as chloroplasts and mitochondria.
Source: Rfam by way of RNAcentral
GAAGCGAGCCAGACCGCCGCUGGUGCAAUCGCCGAAAGGCCGCACUGGAGGAAGGUCCGGACUGCAAAGAGCAGCGUAGCAGCUAACGGCUGUCCACCGCGAGGUGAGGAUCAGAGCAACAGAGACGAGUCGGUCGUCCGGCACUGGAAGCGCGGCGCAAGCCGGGCUUUCAAGGUUCCUUCGAAAGAGGGCAGACCCUUCGGGGUUGGGGGCGGGCAGGGCGCAAGCCCUGCGGGACCCGGGGCGCAGCCUCGGGGGCCGGGUGAAACGGGCAAUCUCUACGCGCAGCAACACCAAAUAGGCCAGCAUCGAGGCGGCUCGCGGAGCUGGCGGGUAGGUGGCAUCGAGCCGUUCCCGCGAGGGGCGGCCCAGAGGAAUGGCGGUCACGCUCGCGCCGGCGCAAGUCGGCGCGAACGCACAGAAUCCGGCCUAUCGGUUCGCUUCACAC